This 254-nucleotide ribosomal RNA is filed under the name uncultured bacterium. Its description in RNAcentral is "partial 16S ribosomal RNA". It matches the Rfam family "Bacterial small subunit ribosomal RNA", at positions 524 to 776 of the family's 1533-position model. The record is from RNAcentral.
UACGGGGGGUGCGAGCGUUGUCCGGAAUCACUGGGCGUAAAGAGCUCGUAGGCGGCUUGUUGCGUCAGCUGUGAAAACCCGCAGCUCAACUGUGGGCUUGCAGCUGAUACGGGCAGGCUUGAGUUCGGUAGGGGAGACUGGAAUUCCUGGUGUAGCGGUGAAAUGCGCAGAUAUCAGGAGGAACACCGGUGGCGAAGGCGGGUCUCUGGGCAUUAACUGACGCUGAGGAGCGAAAGCAUGGGGGAGCGAACAGG